Molecule: long non-coding RNA, 271 nt
Organism: Dreissena polymorpha
Lineage: Eukaryota; Metazoa; Mollusca; Bivalvia; Myida; Dreissenidae
Exons: 3
Source: RefSeq, a predicted model, not a curated record
GUGGAUUUUUGUCAUAGGAAUUAAUUUUAAGAAACGCAAAUUAAUGUACGAUCGACUUUAUCUUCAUGCAGCAUGAUUUGUUUCCCCUGAAAUAAAUAACGCCGUGACGUCAUCAUCGAACGCGGAAAGUAUAGAGUGCGCUGUUUUUCGUUUGCGUCGUCUCGUGGUGUUUAAAUUUUAAAUUAUCACAGUCACUACUUUAUUAUAGAGUUUUAAGACACAAUAACAAUGGACAAAGAACAACCAGAUGACGCCAGUUCGACCCCAAUCA